RNAcentral lists this ribosomal RNA (166 nucleotides) under uncultured bacterium. Its description in RNAcentral is "partial 16S rRNA". It matches the Rfam family "Bacterial small subunit ribosomal RNA", at positions 355 to 513 of the family's 1533-position model. The record is from RNAcentral.
UAGGGAAUCUUCCACAAUGGGCGCAAGCCUGAUGGAGCAACACCGCGUGAGUGAAGAAGGGUUUCGGCUCGUAAAGCUCUGUUGUUAAAGAAGAACACGUAUGAGAGUAACUGUUCAUACGUUGACGGUAUUUAACCAGAAAGUCACGGCUAACUACGUGCCAGAG